GGGAGGGUAUGAUUUGAAUUGAGUAUUGAAGCGCAGCUGACUUUUUUUUUUUACAAUCACCUAAAAAAGUCCAAUUGUGGCUUCAAUUUUGGCAUGUGUGGAAAAUUGGCCUUUUGAUAAGCAAUCAAAACCUUAUUUUCCUGAACAGGGUAUUCCCCAGCCUAACCCCAAAAUUGUGUCAUACCUGAGAAAAUAAUCAGGUCGUUUUCCAUGGUGGUGAGCUCAUCAUAGGAACUAUACAAGAGUGGUAGAUCCAGGAAUUUGAAAUAGAGGGGCGCUUCACAAGUGGAGAGUCGACUAGACUGGCUGGGAAUGAGUACCUUGAUGCUCAAUUUUGAUUGGCUUUGUGCCAAAUGUCAUACUGCCAUCAGUGGACAAGCCAUCACCUAAUUUUGUGGGCAUGAGAAAGGCAAGCCAAGCAUUCAUUCUUGAUGAUCGAAUUUAAUGUCAACUACUGUAAUUAAAAUAGGAUAGAAAUGUGAUUCAGCACAACAUGUUUCACAGUUAAUGAUGAAGAUACGAAGAGUCAUCAACGCUGUGACGUUACAUUUACACAGUGUUAACCUUGAAUCACGAUGAGUAAUAAUGACUCAACUCGCAAACAUAUAACCACAUCUGCUGGCUCUUGUGAACUAUGUAGUAUUUAUCAUUUAUAUUAAUUAUGUUGGUCUACUUGAGAAAAAUUACCUGACAUUAAUUUUUUGUUUUGUAAAAUCCCCAUUGACGAGAGCCAGCAAUUAUAAGAAUCACAGAAGUCUCACGGACACUGGUGUAUUUGUAUAGCUUGGAAAAUCGCAUUCACAAUCUUAAUUGCACUCAAGCCCUCUAUUGACUCAAGUAAAAAAUAGAGCACAAGAUAAAAUUACAAAUUAUAUUACAGUAUAUUAAUAGUGUAAUUGGUGCUCUUUUAUCGAAGUCCCUAGAAACACAAAAUUCCCUCCCUAUUCAAAAUUUUAAGAAAAAAUUUCAUUUAAAAAAAAUGGGAUAUGACAGUGGUUAAAUGUUUAGCACAUACUGUUAAAUAUUUGCCUCUUUUCACCCAGUUUUUAAAUAUUCAAAAAUCUGUAUCUCAUCAAAUACUGUAUGCAUUUUUGUGUCGUAUAAAAAUCAGCUUUACAACAUAUAUAUAAAAAAAAAUUUCCUCUUGAGUAUGGCUUUAACUCCAAACAGAUUUAUUAGGCUUACAAGUAAGUAGACCUCUUUGUACAGGAGUUAGAAGUUUCAGUAACUAGGUAGUAGUAGAGGCCACAAACAACCUCUAAUCAAUAAAAAAAAAAUUAUAAUGUAGAAAUUUCAGGAUACUGUUUAAAAACUGAUAUAUAUUCCUGAAAAUGGCACAAUAAAUUCAAAGCAUUGA
Anneissia japonica is the source of this 1357-nucleotide long non-coding RNA. RefSeq lists it as uncharacterized. The record is from RefSeq and is a predicted model, not a curated record. The transcript has 3 exons. Lineage: Eukaryota; Metazoa; Echinodermata; Crinoidea; Comatulida; Comatulidae.